GUCUUCGGAGUGUGCUGGAUUCGCACGCGACUCUGCGAAGGUCGAAGACCAGGUUCGAUUCCUGGCGGGGGCAC
RNAcentral lists this transfer RNA (74 nucleotides) under Symmachiella dynata. RNAcentral's name for it is "Planctomycetes bacterium Mal52 tRNA-Arg". It matches the Rfam family "tRNA". From Rfam's summary of the family: Transfer RNA (tRNA) molecules are approximately 80 nucleotides in length. The record is from RNAcentral. Lineage: Bacteria; Pseudomonadati; Planctomycetota; Planctomycetia; Planctomycetales; Planctomycetaceae.